This 253-nucleotide ribosomal RNA is filed under the name uncultured bacterium. RNAcentral describes it as "partial 16S ribosomal RNA". It matches the Rfam family "Bacterial small subunit ribosomal RNA", at positions 524 to 776 of the family's 1533-position model. The record is from RNAcentral.
UACCGAGGGUGCGAGCGUUGUCCGGAAUCACUGGGCGUAAAGGGCGCGUAGGUGGCGCUCCAAGUCCAUGGUGAAAGCUCGAUGCUCAACAUCGAGUCGGCCACGGAUACUGGAGGGCUGGAGCACUGUAGGGGCAGAUGGAAUUCCGGGUGUAGCGGUGGAAUGCGUAGAGAUCCGGAAGAACACCGGUGGCGAAGGCGGUCUGCUGGGCAGUUGCUGACACUGAGGCGCGACAGCGUGGGGAGCAAACAGG